This 460-nucleotide ribosomal RNA is filed under the name uncultured bacterium. RNAcentral describes it as "partial 16S ribosomal RNA". It matches the Rfam family "Bacterial small subunit ribosomal RNA", at positions 338 to 795 of the family's 1533-position model. The record is from RNAcentral.
CCUACGGGCGGCAGCAGUGAGGAAUAUUGGGCAAUGGCCGUAAGGCUGAAGCAGCCAAGUAGCGUGAGGGAAGAAUGCCCUAUGGUUUGUAAACCUCUUUUAUGCGGGGGAAAAGGUGUCCACGUGAGGAGGUUUGCAGGUACCGCAUGAAUAAGGACCGGCUAAGUCCGCGCCAGCAGCGGCGGUAAUACGGAAGGGCCGAGCGUUAUCCGGAUUUAUUGGGUUUAAAGGGAGCGUAGAUGGGUUGUUAAGUCAGUUGUGAAAGUUUGCGACUCAACCGUAAAAUUGCAAUUGAUACUGGCAGUCUUGAGUACAGUUGAGGUAGGUGGAAUUCGUGGUGUAGCGGUGAAAUGCUUAGAUAUCACGAAGAACUCCGAUUGCGAAGGCAGCUUACUAAACUGCCACUGACAUUGAUGCUCGAAAGUGUGGGUAUCAAACAGGAUUAGAUACCCGAGUAGUC